CACACUGUGCUUGCACACCGUGUUUUCUUGAGUCGCGAACGGGUGAGUAACGCGUAGGUAACCUGCCUAUUAGCGGGGGAUAACUAUUGGAAACGAUAGCUAAUACCGCAUAAUAUUAAUUAUUGCAUGAUAAUUGAUUGAAAGAUGCAAGCGCAUCACUAGUAGAUGGACCUGCGUUGUAUUAGCUAGUUGGUAAGGUAAGAGCUUACCAAGGCGACGAUACAUAGCCGACCUGAGAGGGUGAUCGGCCACACUGGGACUGAGACACGGCCCAGACUCCUACGGGAGGCAGCAGUAGGGAAUCUUCGGCAAUGGACGAAAGUCUGACCGAGCAACGCCGCGUGAGUGAAGAAGGUUUUCGGAUCGUAAAGCUCUGUUGUAAGUCAAGAACGUGUGUGAGAGUGGAAAGUUCACACAGUGACGGUAGCUUACCAGAAAGGGACGGCUAACUAC
This 453-nucleotide ribosomal RNA is filed under the name uncultured bacterium. Its description in RNAcentral is "bacterial SSU rRNA". It matches the Rfam family "Bacterial small subunit ribosomal RNA", at positions 69 to 504 of the family's 1533-position model. The record is from RNAcentral.